AUACUUAUCUGGUAGGGUAAAUACCAUGAUCCUGGAGGUGGUUUUCCCAGGGUGAGGCUUGUCUAUUGCACUCCAAAUGUGCCGACCCCUGAGAUUUCUGCAAAUAUGGGAAACUUGACUGCAUAAUUUGUGGUAGUAGGGGACUGUGUUCAUGCUUUCCCCUG
This is a small nuclear RNA of Cebus imitator (Panamanian white-faced capuchin), 164 nucleotides long. Its record names the gene U1. It matches the Rfam family "U1 spliceosomal RNA". Rfam says of the family: U1 is a small nuclear RNA (snRNA) component of the spliceosome (involved in pre-mRNA splicing). Its 5' end forms complementary base pairs with the 5' splice junction, thus defining the 5' donor site of an intron. There are significant differences in sequence and secondary structure between metazoan and yeast U1 snRNAs, the latter being much longer (568 nucleotides as compared to 164 nucleotides in human). Lineage: Eukaryota; Metazoa; Chordata; Mammalia; Primates; Cebidae. The record is from Ensembl.